Molecule: ribosomal RNA, 866 nt
Filed under: uncultured Weissella sp.
Lineage: Bacteria; Bacillati; Bacillota; Bacilli; Lactobacillales; Lactobacillaceae
Description: bacterial SSU rRNA
Rfam family: Bacterial small subunit ribosomal RNA
Source: RNAcentral
GAUGAACGCUGGCGGCGUGCCUAAUACAUGCAAGUCGAACGCAUUGUGGUUGAAAUGAUAUGAAGAACUUGUUCAGAUUUGAUUUUCAACAUUGCAAUGAGUGGCGAACGGGUGAGUAACACGUGGGAAACCUACCUCUUAGCAGGGGAUAACAUUUGGAAACAAAUGCUAAUACCGUAUAAUAAUUAAAACCGCAUGGUUUUAGUUUAAAAGAUGGUCUUGCUAUCACUAAGAGAUGGUCCCGCGGUGUAUUAGUUAGUUGGUGAGGUAAUGGCUCACCAAGACAAUGAUACAUAGCCGAGUUGAGAGACUGACCGGCCACAAUGGGACUGAGACACGGCCCAUACUCCUACGGGAGGCAGCAGUAGGGAAUCUUCCACAAUGGACGAAAGUCUGAUGGAGCAACGCCGCGUGUGUGAUGAAGGGUUUCGGCUCGUAAAACACUGUUGUAAGAGAAGAAUGACAUUGAGAGUAACUGUUCAAUGUGUGACGGUAUCUUACCAGAAAGGAACGGCUAAAUACGUGCCAGCAGCCGCGGUAAUACGUAUGUUCCAAGCGUUAUCCGGAUUUAUUGAGCGUAAAGCGAGCGCAGACGGUUAUUUAAGUCUGAAGUGAAAGCCCUCGGCUCAACCGAGGAAUUGCUUUGGAAACUGGAUAACUUGAGUGCAGUAGAGGAAAGUGGAACUCCAUGUGUAGCGGUGAAAUGCGUAGAUAUAUGGAAGAACACCAGUGGCGAAGGCGGCUUUCUGGACUGUAACUGACGUUGAGGCUCGAAAGUGUGGGUAGCAAACAGGAUUAGAUACCCUGGUAGUCCACACUGUAAACGAUGAGUGCUAGUUGUUCGAGGGUUUCCGCCCUUGAGUGAC